RNAcentral lists this ribosomal RNA (416 nucleotides) under uncultured Acidobacteriaceae bacterium. Its description in RNAcentral is "bacterial SSU rRNA". It matches the Rfam family "Bacterial small subunit ribosomal RNA", at positions 370 to 779 of the family's 1533-position model. Lineage: Bacteria; Pseudomonadati; Acidobacteriota; Terriglobia; Terriglobales; Acidobacteriaceae. The record is from RNAcentral.
AAUGGGGGAAACCCUGACGCAGCAACGCCGCGUGAGUGAAGAAGCAUCUUGGUGUGUAAAGCUCUGUCGACAGGGACUAAGACUUCUGUUUAAGAGAUGGAAGUGUUGAAGGUACCUGUAGAGGAAGCCCCGGCUAACUCCGUGCCAGCAGCCGCGGUAAUACGGGGGGGGCAAGCGUUAUUCGGAAUUACUGGGCGUAAAGGGCGCGCAGGCGGUCCGUUAAGUGAGAAGUGAAAGCCCACGGCUUAACCGUGGAGGUGCUUCUCAUACUGGCGAACUAGAGGAUGGGAGAGGAAAGCGGAAUACCCGGUGUAGCGGUGAAAUGCGUAGAGAUCGGGUGGAACACCAGUGGCGAAGGCGGCUUUCUGGACCAUAACUGACGCUGAGGCGCGAAAGCGUGGGGAGCAAACAGGAUU